Molecule: ribosomal RNA, 253 nt
Filed under: uncultured bacterium
Lineage: Bacteria
Description: partial 16S ribosomal RNA
Rfam family: Bacterial small subunit ribosomal RNA
Source: RNAcentral
UACGAAGGGUGCAAGCGUUGCUCGGAAUUAUUGGGCGUAAAGGGCAGGUAGGUGGUCUUGUUUGUCUAAGGUGAAAUCCCCGAGCUUAACUUGGGAACUGCCUUGGAAACGGCGAGACUGGAGUACUGGAGAGGGUCGUAGAAUUCUCGGUGUAGCGGUAAAAUGCGUAGAUAUCGAGAGGAAUACCAGAGGCGAAGGCGGCGACCUGGACAGUAACUGACACUCAACUGCGAAAGCGUGGGGAGCAAACAGG